AGAGCGAACGCUGGCGGCAGGCCUAACACAUGCAAGUCGAGCGCUCGUAGCAAUACGAGAGCGGCAGACGGGAGAGUAACACGUGGGAACGUACCCUUUGGUUCGGAACAACACAGGGAAACUUGUGCUAAUACCGAAUAAGCCCUUACGGGGAAAGAUUUAUCGCCAAAGGAUCGGCCCGCGUCUGAUUAGCUAGUUGGUGGGGUAAUGGCUCACCAAGGCGACGAUCAGUAGCUGGUCUGAGAGGAUGACCAGCCUCAUUGGGACUGAGACACGGCCCAAACUCCUACGGGAGGCAGCAGUGGGGAUAUUGGACAAUGGGCGCAAGCCUGAUCCAGCCAUGCCGCGUGGAUGAUGAAGGCCUUAGGUUGUAAAGUCCUUUAACGGGAAGAUAAUGACGGUACCGUAGAAUAAGCCCGGCUAACUUCGCGCCAGCAGCCGC
Molecule: ribosomal RNA, 442 nt
Filed under: uncultured bacterium
Lineage: Bacteria
Description: SSU rRNA
Rfam family: Bacterial small subunit ribosomal RNA
Source: RNAcentral